This 481-nucleotide ribosomal RNA is filed under the name uncultured bacterium. RNAcentral's name for it is "partial 16S ribosomal RNA". It matches the Rfam family "Bacterial small subunit ribosomal RNA", at positions 28 to 507 of the family's 1533-position model. The record is from RNAcentral.
GAUGAACGCUGGCGGCGUGCUUAACACAUGCAAGUCGAACGAAGCACUUUAUUUUAUUUCCUUCGGGACUGAUUAUUUUGUGACUGAGUGGCGUACGGGUGAGUAACGCGUGGGUAACCUGCCUUUUACAGGGGGAUAACAGUUGGAAACGGCUGCUAAUACCGCAUAAUCGCACAGCAUCGCAUGAUGCAGUGUGACAAGCUCCGGUGGUAUAAGAUGGACCUGAGUUGGAUUAGCUAGUUGGUGAGGUAACCGACCACCCAGGCGACGAUCCAUAGCCGGCGGGGGAGCGUGACCGGGCAGAUUGGGACUGGGACCAGUACCAAACUGGAGGGAGAGGACGGAAUGGGGACUAAUGCACAAUGGGCGAGAGACUGAUGCAGCGAGGCCGCGAGGGCGAAGAAGUAGUUAGGAACGUAAAGCUCUAUCGACAGGGCAGAUAAUGACGGUAGCUGACUAAGAAGCACCGGCUAAAUACGUG